GGGGGAUAAGCUUCAUUGUCAAGAGGGAAACAGCCCAGAUCACUGUUUAAGGCCCCUAAAUAAUUACUAAGUGAUAAAGGAUGUAAUAUUACAUAGACAACCAGGAGGUUAGCUUAGAAGCAGCUAUUCCUUUAAAAAGUGCGUAAUAGCUUACUGGUCAAGUGAUUUUGCGCCGAAAAUGUAUGGGACUAAGUAAUUUGCCGAAGACGUGAGAUAUUAAUCGGUAGAAGAGCGUUCUAUUUUAGUUAGAAGCAGUAAUGUAAAUAACUGUGGACUGUAUAGAAGUGAGAAUGUCAGCUUAAGUAACGAAAACAUUGGUGGAAAUCCAAUGCCCCGUAAACCUAAGGUUUCCUUAAGCUAGGUUCGUCCACUGAGGGUUAGUCAGAUUCUAAGACUAGGUUUAAUUACGUAGUCGAUGACAAACAGGUUAUUAUUCCUGUACUAUUUUAUAUUUGUUAUGAGUGACGAAAGAAGGCUAUCUCAGCCCAAUGUUGGUUUUUGGUUCAAAAUUACAAGGUUUUGGAAUUAUUAAGAAAAAAUAGUUUUAGCUAAGUGUUGAGCACGAUAGAUGCUAUGGUAUUAAAAGUGAGUUAAGUCAAACUUCCUAGAAAAACUCUGGUAACGUUAAAUAUAAAGUAUCUGUACCGUAAACUGACACAGGUGGGUGAGUAGAGAAUACUAAGGGGCGCGAGAUAACUCUUUCUAAGGAACUCGGCAAAAUAACUCCGUAACUUCGGGAGAAGGGGUGCCUCAUAAUAGAGGUCGCAGUGAUCAGGUCCAAGCGACUGCUUACCAAAAGCACAGGUCUCCGCUAAGUUGAAAAACUAUGUAUGGGGGCUGACGCCUGCCCAGUGCCGGAAGGUUAAAGAAAUUGGUUAGCUUUUGCGAAGCUAGUGACUGAAGCCCUGGUGAACGGCGGUUGUAACUAUAACGAUCCUAAGGUAGCGAAAUUCCUUGUCGGGUAAGUUCCGACCCGCACGAAAGGCGUAACGAUUUGGACGCUGUCUCAGAAAGAGACUCGGUGAAAUAGAAUUGACUGUGAAGAUGCGGUCUACUUGCACUUGGACAGAAAGACCCUAUGAAGCUUUACUAUAAUUUGAAAUUGGUUUUGGGCUCUUCUUGCGCAGAAUAGGUGGGAAGCUAUGAAUCUUUUUUUCGGAAAAUGAUGAGCUGCAAUGUGAGAUACCACUCUUGAAGAGUUAAAAAUCUAAUAGUAUUAUUUUAGCAAGAUACUUGACAGUUUCAGACGGGUAGUUUUACUGGGGCGGUAGCCUCCUAAAAGGUAACGGAGGCGUACAAAGGUUUUCUCAGUCUGGUCGGAAAUCAGUUUUAGAGUGCAAAGACAAAAGAAAGCUUGACUGUGAGACCUAUAAGUCGAGCAGAGACUAAAGUCGGUCUUAGUGACCCGACGGUGCUGUGUGGAAAGGCCGUCGUUCAACAGAUAAAAGUUACUCUAGGGAUAACAGGCUGAUCUCCCCCAAGAGUUCAUAUCGACGGGGAGGUUUGGCACCUCGAUGUCGGCUCAUCGCAUCCUGGGGCGGUAGUACGUUCCAAGGGUUGGGCUGUUCGCCCAUUAAAGCGGUACGUGAGCUGGGUUCAGAACGUCGAGAGACAGUUCGGUCCAUAUCCGGUGUGAGCGUUAGAGUAUUGAAAAGAGCUUUCCUUAGUACGAGAGGACCGGGAAGGACGCACCACUGAUGUGCCAGUUUUUGUGCCAACAGAAAAUGCUGGGUAGUCAAGUGUGGAGUGGAUAACUGCUGAAGCAUAAA
RNAcentral lists this ribosomal RNA (1769 nucleotides) under Euglena splendens. RNAcentral's name for it is "LSU rRNA". It matches the Rfam family "Bacterial large subunit ribosomal RNA", at positions 993 to 2783 of the family's 2925-position model. Lineage: Eukaryota; Euglenozoa; Euglenophyceae; Euglenales; Euglenaceae. The record is from RNAcentral.